CUCGAGUAUCCGUCUGGUCUGCUUUGCUGACAUGCCACCCACACCAGGAUCACAAUGUAUCUCUUCAAAGACUGAAGAAUCUCGAGGUUACGUUCGCAAAGGCAACAUGCCAUGUGGCCAUUGGAGGGCAGUGUGUAUCCAAUGUUGCCACAUCUCUUACACAGCCUGAAAGUGCACCCUUGAUUUGCAUGAGGGGUCCCAAGAUCUUCAGCUUGAUGUUUGCAGUCCUCACCUCUCUCCCACCAGAACCCUUUGCCUUUUUUCCAGGAUAAAAGCAUCAUGAUGAAGCAUCAUUAGUGCGAUGGGAAAAUGGUGAAGAGAUCUCCUAAUGAUUUGAGGGAAGAAAACUGCAAGCAAAAUUUGGUGGAGAGUCAGGCUUUGGUCGAGCCACCCUAUAUAUAGUAAAUGAAGGAAGAUAGUGAAGCUUGAAGUCAAAUAAUUGCGUGUGCACAAAGGAGUUACGUUUUUGCCUGUGUGUCUCUCAGAUUUACACUUAUAGUAUUUUAAAGUAUAUUAAAGUAUAAAUGGAUAUAAAUGGACAUUAAAUAUGUUACUGUAGCGAAUUGUAUUUGUUAUUUAUUCACGAUGUAGAGAGUCACGUGGAAGGUCAUAUUUAUCACAUCUAAUUGUCCUUUUGGUUUAAUUUAGAGGUCCAUUAAGGGAUAAUGGGAUCAGUUUGGGUUGGAGGCAUGUUCAGCCCAGACCAAAUAAUUCUGACAAUUUCUAACCGUAAGGGAAAUUUAUGGGAAAUGAGAGGGAUUGCUAUCAUCUCUGGUAUCAUUGAACCUAGAUCAGUCUAACUGAAGACGCUCUAAAAGCCCUCUCCCACUGUACGAUUUCAUUCAAAGAGUUCUCUCGAGUUUGCCCUGAUUCGAACUCUGAGAUUUAUGGUAAUGGCCUCUCGUAGGUACUCGGGGCUCUCGUGGACAUUUUUCAACGUUGAAAAAUCUUCACGAGUCUUCCCGAGCUUACCGCGUUUCCCGAGUACCUGCCGUUAGCGUUAUGAGCCGCUAAGCUCCGACGUCCCCGAGCUCCGACGUACCCGCUACGUUCAUUCUAUGUGCUUACCACGAGUUUGAUUUUUUUUUAAACCCGGGAGAGCACUUGAAUGAACUCGUACAGUCGGACAGGGCUAUAAACCUUCAGAACCUGAAGGAACCUGAAGCAAACGACAAAGUGCUGGAGAAACUCAGCGAAUCAGGCAACAGCUCUGAAGGGAAUGGACAGGUUUUAGGCUUGAGACAUUAAAGACACAGUGCUGACCAGCGAUCCCAAUACACUAGUACUAUCCUAUACACUAGGGACAAUUGUACAAUUUUACCGAAGCCAAAUAAUCUACGACCUUGUACGUCUUUGGAGUGUGGGAGGAAACGGAGCAUCUGGAAAAAACCCAUGUGGUUACAGGCAGAAUGUACGAAGUCCGUACAGAUAGCACCCGUAGUCAGGAUCGAACCCGGGCCUCUGGUGCUGUUAGGUAGCAACUCUACUGCUGCUCCACUGUACCAUCCUGUGACAUUUUGGAUUGGGACCCUUCUGCACUCUAAUUAGGGGUUAAAAAAGAAAUGGAAAACUAUAAUAAAGAGGGGCAUGGAGGAAAAUGAGUUGGAAGAAGCAGAAAAGUAAGACUGAAAAUGCUGGUGAAACACGAUUUAGAAGAAAAAUCCUUAUUUUUAUUAGGGCAAAUGAAGGAAGGAGAAAAUGAUGGCAGUAAGCUAUUUAAAUGUUGCACACAAAAGAGUUAAUUUCUUGUUUGUGCAUAACUCAGACCUACAUUUGUUCGGAGAAUUUUAAAAUCAUUACAUUUUUGGCUAUGACAACGCUGACCAUCUAAGAAUCUUGUUCUCCUGAGUCAGCUCCAUAGAACUAUUUUCCUAACCAUGAUUGAGCUGCACAUUAAAGAAAAAUCCAACAGAUAUGGAGCCAAGACAUUUUUUUAUAUAAGGUUUUGAGAUUAUAUGCAGUUUUUCUGGCUUGUUAACUCUAGAUGAUUUCUAAAUAUUUGGGUCUGUUCCAUCUUUCCAGAAGGAUGAGGCCUUUGGUUUACUUCAUUAAGUGGAAGGAGAUGAGGAAUUAGUACCAAGUUGCAUGCAUUUAAAGCCCACUCAAUUCCUCAACCUUUCCUUUCCUUUCAUUUUUUGUUUUUUCACGUAGAAUACCAAAGUUGAAAAUGCCGGAAACACUCAGAAGAAUCAUGGGAAGAAUCUGUACAAAGGGAUUGUGAAAAGGUGAUUGUGAGGUCAAAUAAUCGGCACUGCUGAAGGAUCUCGGACCUGAAGCAUUUUCCCUGUUUCACUUUCCGCAGAUGCUGCCCAACCUUUUUAUUUCAGAUUUCCAACAUCUGCAGUGUAGGAAACAAUUGCAGCUGCUGGUUUAAAGAUGCUUUAUCCCAGAGGUGUUGCCUGAAUGCUGAGUUCAAAGAUCAUAAGUGAUAGGAGUUGAAUUAAGCCAUUUGGCCCAUCAAGUCUACUCCACCCUUCAAUCAUUGCUGAUCUAUGUCUCCCUCCUAACCCCAUUCUCCUGCCUUCUCUCCAUAACUUCUGACACCCGGCAGUUAUUCCAGCAUUUUAUGUCGGUCUGCAGUUUUAAAUACAAUAAAUUCAUCUGAAGAAGGGUCCUGACUAAAUAUCAACUCUUCAUGCUCUCCAGAGAUGUUGCCUGACCCGCUGGGUUACUCCAGCACUUUGUGACCUUUUAUUCCAAUAAGUGGCUGGCUCAUUUGGAAAAAUACUCAUUCCCACUAAAGGUUUUGUCAGGAAACAUUGCAUUUUAAAAGAAUUAUCGACUUUGGCAAAGAGACCCAACAGGUGGGAGGAACACAGGUUGUGUGACCAAGUUGUAAGUAAAAGAAAUUCAGGUGGAUUUUCUUUAUACAUUCGAAAGGACACAACAUUUGUGGAUUAAGUUGUGGAUGGUAGCAAAUUAUGUAUACAAGCAGAUAAAAUACCAAUAUUUUCUGCAGUAAAUUUCUUCUUAUUUGUUGAUGCUAUGCAAACUCAUAAGGACUACUAUCGUUAAUUUCCCACCAAUAAUUGUCCCCCUGGAUUACUUUUGAGGGCAGUUAUGGAUUAAUUGCAUUGGUUUGGAGACCUAGAAAAGGCCAGGUGAGAUAAGGACAGGCCCCCUCCUGUUGAAGGACCUUAAAAAACCAGGGAGAUCUAUGUAAUAGGGACAAGAAACUAAGUGCUGGAGGGUCAGUGGGUCAGGCAGCAUUUGUGGAGGGAAUGGACAGAUGCCAUUUCAGGAUGGGACCUAUCUUCAGACUGUUGUAGUCGACGGGGUGGAAGAAAGUUGGA
Long non-coding RNA from Leucoraja erinaceus (little skate), 3293 nucleotides. RefSeq lists it as uncharacterized. The record is from RefSeq and is a predicted model, not a curated record. NCBI's taxonomy places the organism in Eukaryota, Metazoa, Chordata, Chondrichthyes, Rajiformes, Rajidae. The transcript has 4 exons.